UGAGGAAUAUUGGUCAAUGGGCGAGAGCCUGAACCAGCCAAGUCGCGUGAAGGAAGAAGGUUCUAUGGAUUGUAAACUUCUUUUGUAAGGGAAUAAAAAAGGUUACGUGUAGCCUAUUGUAUGUACUUUACGAAUAAGGAUCGGCUAACUCCGUGCCAGCAGCCGCGGUAAUACGGAGGAUCCAAGCGUUAUCCGGAUUUAUUGGGUUUAAAGGGUGCGUAGGCGGACCAAUAAGUCAGUGGUGAAAGUUUGCGGCUCAACCGUAAAAUUGCCAUUGAAACUGUCGGUCUUGAGUGUAAAUGAGGUAGGCGGAAUGUGUUGUGUAGCGGUGAAAUGCUUAGAUAUAACACAGAACACCAAUUGCGAAGGCAGCUUACUACGCAUAUAUUGACGCUGAGGCACGAAAGCGUGGGGAUCAAACAGG
This 424-nucleotide ribosomal RNA is filed under the name uncultured bacterium. RNAcentral's name for it is "bacterial SSU rRNA". It matches the Rfam family "Bacterial small subunit ribosomal RNA", at positions 355 to 776 of the family's 1533-position model. The record is from RNAcentral.